This 469-nucleotide ribosomal RNA is filed under the name uncultured bacterium. Its description in RNAcentral is "partial 16S ribosomal RNA". It matches the Rfam family "Bacterial small subunit ribosomal RNA", at positions 28 to 507 of the family's 1533-position model. The record is from RNAcentral.
GACGAACGCUGGCGGCGUGCUUAACACAUGCAAGUCGAACGGAAAGGCCCUGCUUGCCGGGUGCUCGAGUGGCGAACGGGUGAGUAACACGUGGGUGAUCUGCCCCUUACUUUGGGAUAAGCCUGGGAAACUGGGUCUAAUACUGGAUAGGACCAUGCUGUAGGUGGUGUGGUGGAAAGAUUAGUUUCGGUAAGGGAUGAGCUCGCGGCCUAUCAGCUUGUUGGUGGGGUAAUGGCCUACCAAGGCGUCGACGGGUAGCCGGCCUGAGAGGGUGGACGGCCACAUUGGGACUGAGAUACGGCCCAGACUCCUACGGGAGGCAGCAGUGGUGAAGAGUGCACAAUGGGCGCAAGCCUGAUGCAGCGACGCCGCGUGGGGGAUGACGGCCUUCGGGUUGUAAACUUCUUUCAGCCAUGACGAAGCCCUUGUGGUGACGGUAGUGGGAGAAGAAGCACCGGCUAACUACGUG